This is a small nucleolar RNA of Pogona vitticeps (central bearded dragon), 76 nucleotides long. The record is from Ensembl. NCBI's taxonomy places the organism in Eukaryota, Metazoa, Chordata, Lepidosauria, Squamata, Agamidae.
GAAAGCCUGUGAUGUGAUGUUAUCCCUGUCUGAAAGCUCAUUUAUGAAGGGAAAAAGAGUAUCAACUGAGGCUUUU